Molecule: long non-coding RNA, 405 nt
Filed under: Trifolium pratense (red clover)
Lineage: Eukaryota; Viridiplantae; Streptophyta; Magnoliopsida; Fabales; Fabaceae
Description: long non-coding RNA (TPRA_LNC003056)
Source: RNAcentral
GUUGUAGGGAGUGCCGGCAUCGGAGCAGAGGCAGAAGGUUGAUAAGGAUAAGCCAUGAUGAUGAUAGAUCAGAGAUUUGUUUGUUUGAUAUAAAUAUCUAUGUGAGGAUAAACAAUAAUGGAAUUGGGAUCGAAUUAAACUUUGUUAUAUAAUAAUUUGAAUUUGAUUAAUUGAUUUUUAUAAUGAUAGUUAGGGAAGAAGAAGAUUAGUAUGGAGGUUCUUUAAUGUUGGAAAUUAGACGUGUAUUAGAUUUCUUAUGGUUUAAGUUAAGAUAUUGUCAUUUUCCUUUUUGUGUGCGUGUGUGUAAACUAGCAUGUGCACGCGUACCGUAUGGAACAGUGGUGAUGAUGAUGAUUAGGAAGAAACAGAAAUGGUCAACAAAAUAUUUAUUUUUUUAUGUUUUCC